RNAcentral lists this transfer RNA (82 nucleotides) under Candidatus Apopatosoma intestinale. Its description in RNAcentral is "tRNA-Leu". It matches the Rfam family "tRNA". Rfam says of the family: Transfer RNA (tRNA) molecules are approximately 80 nucleotides in length. Their secondary structure includes four short double-helical elements and three loops (D, anti-codon, and T loops). The record is from RNAcentral. Lineage: Bacteria; Bacillati; Bacillota; Clostridia; Eubacteriales.
GCGGGUAUGGCGGAAUGGUAGACGCGCCGGUCUUAGGAACCGGUGGGCAACCGUGCUGGUUCGAGUCCAGUUACCCGUACCA